Molecule: long non-coding RNA, 857 nt
Organism: Rhea pennata
Lineage: Eukaryota; Metazoa; Chordata; Aves; Rheiformes; Rheidae
Exons: 2
Source: RefSeq, a predicted model, not a curated record
GGGCCCGGCCCGGCCCUAACGGCCGCGGGGCCCUAACGGCUUUAACGGCCGCAACGGCCGCCCGCGCUCCGCCGCGCCACGGCAGCGAAAGGCCUCCGGCUCCCGGUCCUUCCCUCCCGUUAACCUAACCUUCAGGGCCGGAGCUACCGCUUUAGCGCCAGCACAGUUCAAGCUCUUGCCGCAGCACGGAAGCAUAGGCCAGUUCUCAGCCUGGGUGUCACAGCUGGUUAUUUUAAUCACAAUUUUUUUUGCCUGAGGAGCAGCUCAAAACAGAAGACAGACUCGCCUUUACCUCUCUCUAAAAGUGGAAGGCAUUAAAGACAGACAUCAAAAAUAGCAGUAGCCCCUUUGCUAAUCUGCAACUGCAAGCAAGUUACAGCUUUUAAACACCAAGAAUUAGGCCUAUGUGAACUGGGCAAUAGAAGGGAGAAGGAAGCAUCUUCAUUACAGAAGAUGAAAAUGCUUAAAUGGAUACUCUAAGCAAAACGGUCUCACUGCAGCAAAGCUGUUUCCAUAGUCAAGGAGGAUGCGCUUGCUUAGAAACUCUGGAUAAGGAACAGCCCAAACGCUCUUCAUUCUCAUCAGAUUUAUGAACCUCCACUAAAGAUGCGCUUGAAACACUGAAGAUACCAUGGAUAUUGACUCUAACUUUGACUUUCACUUUUGAACUGGAUCCAUCUGUUUGAGGCGUGACCUUCUGAACCAAGAAGUGAGCUAAAAAAUUGUUCCAAUUAAAAUAACCAGUGAACGUAAAGUAAAUCCUGAAUAUUGCUUGUAACAGAUCACUAUACUGCAUGCAGAGGAUAUUAAACUCUAUUCAAAGCCAAUUUGAUUUUUUAGUAAAUAAUGAUAGAAUA